RNAcentral lists this ribosomal RNA (461 nucleotides) under uncultured bacterium. RNAcentral describes it as "bacterial SSU rRNA". It matches the Rfam family "Bacterial small subunit ribosomal RNA", at positions 28 to 507 of the family's 1533-position model. The record is from RNAcentral.
GAUGAACGCUAGCGGCGUGCCUAACACAUGCAAGUCGAACGUGAGAGGGUACUUGUAUCCUUGAAAGUGGCGGACGGGUGAGUAAGACGUAGGUGACCUGCCUUGAAGUGGGGGAUAACCAUUGGAAACGAUGGCUAAUACCGCAUAAGCUGGUGACGAUGGGAAUCGUUAACAGGAAAGCUUUAGUGCUUUGAGAGGGGCCUACGGCCGAUUAGCUAGUUGGUGAGGUAAAGGCUCACCAAGGCGAUGAUCGGUAGCUGGUCUGAGAGGACGAUCAGCCACACGGGAACUGAGACACGGUCCCGACUCCUACGGGGGGCAGCAGUGAGGAAUAUUCGGCAAUGGGGGCAACCCUGACCGAGCAACGCCGCGUGGAGGAUGACGGUUUUCGGAUUGUAAACUCCUUUUCUCAGGGAAGAGCGAGGACGGUACCUGGGGAAUAAGUCACGGCUAACUACGUG